AUUGAACGCUGGCGGCAGGCCUAACACAUGCAAGUCGAACGGUAACAGGAAGCAGCUUGCUGCUUCGCUGACGAGUGGCGGACGGGUGAGUAAUGUCUGGGAAACUGCCUGAUGGAGGGGGAUAACUACUGGAAACGGUAGCUAAUACCGCAUAACGUCGCAAGACCAAAGAGGGGGACCUUAGGGCCUCUUGCCAUCGGAUGUGCCCAGAUGGGAUUAGCUAGUAGGUGGGGUAACGGCUCACCUAGGCGACGAUCCCUAGCUGGUCUGAGAGGAUGACCAGCCACACUGGAACUGAGACACGGUCCAGACUCCUACGAGAGGCAGCAGUGGGGAAUAUUGCACAAUGGGCGCAAGCCUGAUGCAGCCAUGCCGCGUGUAUGAAGAAGGCCUUCGGGUUGUAAAGUACUUUCAGCGGGGAGGAAGGGAGUAAAGUUAAUACCUUUGCUCAUUGACGUUACCCGCAGAAGAAGCACCGGCUAACUCCGUG
RNAcentral lists this ribosomal RNA (490 nucleotides) under uncultured bacterium. Its description in RNAcentral is "partial 16S ribosomal RNA". It matches the Rfam family "Bacterial small subunit ribosomal RNA", at positions 30 to 507 of the family's 1533-position model. The record is from RNAcentral.